CCACCUUUCCCUCUCCGCCCGUUCCCCCACGACCUCCACCUUCCACACCAUCCCCAACACCUCCUUCCUCCACCACGGGGCACCACACGACUGCCCACCACGCCCACCUCCCUCCACCAGCCACCACGCUGCCGCCCGCCCGCGCCAUCUCCUUCCAUGCGCCGCAACGCCACCCCCCGCCUCCUACUUCGGCGACCGCUGUUUCCUGGAGCCUCGAUGAGCCUCCACCACCGGAUCCAACCAUCAUAGCCAUGGCAAGGCCUCCACCGCCGGAUCCGGCCGUCACGUUCACCGGUGCAGGCACAAGCCAGCGGAUCCGGCCGCCACAACCACGGGUGCAGGCACAAUUGUGAACCAUGGGAUUAAGGGCCCGGGGGUCUGCACCAGCACCCGAGAUGCCCCCUUCUCCUCCGACGCUUCUCCACAAAAGCAGAAGCAUAACGCGUUGUGCCGACCCUUUUCUACCCUCACUCCAAUUUCGUUACGAUUUGUUUGGUCUAUCUGCUCGGGGGACUGAGCAUAUGCUUUUGUUUGGCUAAACAGGAGGAAGCAGCUGAUUUGUCAGUAGAGGAAGUCGCGUCCCAUUGCGUUAGUGGACAAAAGGCUUUUCGAUGAGGUGGGGAAGAAUGACACGCUGAUCGUUGUUGGCGAGACUGGUAGCGGCAAAACGACUCCAGAUCCGGCUGCCACGACCUCGGCUCCCUACUCCCCAUCUCAAAUAUCAACCUCCUCUCCUCUUGGCCUCUUCUCCAACGAGAGAACGCACACCACUAAGCAGUUUGGAUAAGUGGGGAGGUGGUCUCAUCCACGCACAUUCAAAUGGCGGUGAUGACAAAUUGAUUGAACAGCAGUAGCGAGCGUACAAUCCACUUGGUUCUUCUUUUGUGAUUUUUGUCUUCAAAUUUUGGUUGUGUGCGAUCCGCAUGUUUUUUCACGAACACUAAUGCGCAUUUUUUUUUGGUAUAUGACAGAUUUCAUCCAGAAUGUAUACCUCUUAUUUGUUUGAAUGAGAUGGGGGAGAGAUAGUUUGGAGAGAUUCAGGGGUUCUGUGUAACCACGGAGCAAAGUGCCAGGGUUUUUCUUGUAUAAAUACCACAAUUUACCAUUGAUAGUUCAUGUAUUUGAUAUUUUUUUAAAGUUUGUGUCAUUGUUACAAGGUGGUUUACUUGUUCUGUCGACGACAUUAAUAGUUCAUGUAUUUGAAUUUUUUUUUAAGUUUGUGUCAUUGUUACAAGGUGGUUUACUUGUUCUGUCGACGACAUUACGUUAUGGUAGAUAGGGGGGUGCCUGAGGGUAUGCAGUUCUAUGUGUGUUUGUUUUUUCAUAUUUUUUUGGCCGUGUGGAUGAAUUCUUGCAUGUAAUGCAUAU
Molecule: long non-coding RNA, 1368 nt
Organism: Hordeum vulgare subsp. vulgare (domesticated barley)
Lineage: Eukaryota; Viridiplantae; Streptophyta; Magnoliopsida; Poales; Poaceae
Exons: 3
Source: RefSeq, a predicted model, not a curated record